RNAcentral lists this RNase P RNA (420 nucleotides) under Phycisphaerales bacterium. Its description in RNAcentral is "RNase P RNA component class A". It matches the Rfam family "Bacterial RNase P class A". Rfam says of the family: Ribonuclease P (RNase P) is a ubiquitous endoribonuclease, found in archaea, bacteria and eukarya as well as chloroplasts and mitochondria. Its best characterised activity is the generation of mature 5'-ends of tRNAs by cleaving the 5'-leader elements of precursor-tRNAs. The record is from RNAcentral. Lineage: Bacteria; Pseudomonadati; Planctomycetota; Phycisphaerae; Phycisphaerales.
GUGCGUGGACAGACGGUCGCCUGCGGGGCAACCCGCCGGAGGAAAGUCCGAACACCGAAGGACACGGUGAUGGGUAACGCCCACCGGCUCUGGUCGUGGAGCCAGGGAAAGUGCCACAGAAAACACACGGCCGAUGGCCGCUAUCGCGGCACAGGCAAAGGUGAAAUGGUGCGGUAAGAGCGCACCGCCCGGCCGGCGACGGUCGGGGCACGGUAAACCCCACCGGGUGCAAGCGCAAGCAGUCUCCGCCUCCGGUUCACCGGAGGAGCCGUGGUCCGCGGCUUCCGAAAGGUAGGAGACGGGUAGCGUGCUUGAGGUCGUCGGCAACGGCGGCCGUAGAUGAAUGACCGUCACCCGCUUCCUCUGUCAGAGAUGAUCGAGGGCGCGGGCACAGAAUUCGGCUUACGUCCACGCACGACC